AGUGAACGCUGGCGGUAGGCCUAACACAUGCAAGUCGAACGGCAGCACAGUAAGAGCUUGCUCUUACGGGUGGCGAGUGGCGGACGGGUGAGGAGUCCAUCGGAAUCUACUUUUUCGUGGGGGAUAACGUAGGGACACUUACGCUAAUACCGCAUACUACCUACGGGUGAAAGCAGGAGAUCUUCGCACCUUGCGCUAUUGAAUGAGCCGAUGUCGGAUUAGCUAGUUGGCGGGGUAAAGGCCCACCAAGGCGACGAUCCGUAGCUGGUCUGAGAGGAUGAUCAGCCACACUGGAACUGAGACACGGUCCAGACUCCUACGGGAGGCAGCAGUGGGGAAUAUUGGACAAUGGGCGCAAGCCUGAUCCAGCCAUACCGCGUGGGUGAAGAAGGCCUUCGGGUUGUAAAGCCCUUUUGUUGGGAAAGAAAAGAAGCAGGUUAAUACCCCGCUGUUCUGACGGUACCCAAAGAAUAAGCACCGGCUAACUUCGUG
RNAcentral lists this ribosomal RNA (492 nucleotides) under uncultured bacterium. RNAcentral's name for it is "partial 16S ribosomal RNA". It matches the Rfam family "Bacterial small subunit ribosomal RNA", at positions 29 to 507 of the family's 1533-position model. The record is from RNAcentral.